GUUGUCGUGGCCCAGUGGUAGGGCGUUGCAUUGGUAAUGCAGAGGUCGCGAGUUCAAAUCUCGCCGAUAACA
RNAcentral lists this transfer RNA (72 nucleotides) under Nanoarchaeales archaeon. RNAcentral's name for it is "tRNA-Thr". It matches the Rfam family "tRNA". From Rfam's summary of the family: Transfer RNA (tRNA) molecules are approximately 80 nucleotides in length. Their secondary structure includes four short double-helical elements and three loops (D, anti-codon, and T loops). Further hydrogen bonds mediate the characteristic L-shaped molecular structure. tRNAs have two regions of fundamental functional importance: the anti-codon, which is responsible for specific mRNA codon recognition, and the 3' end, to which the tRNAs corresponding amino acid is attached (by aminoacyl-tRNA synthetases). tRNAs cope with the degeneracy of the genetic code in two manners: having more than one tRNA (with a specific anti-codon) for a particular amino acid; and 'wobble' base-pairing, i.e. permitting non-standard base-pairing at the 3rd anti-codon position. The record is from RNAcentral. Lineage: Archaea; Nanobdellati; Nanobdellota; Candidatus Nanoarchaeia; Nanoarchaeales.